Molecule: non-coding RNA, 3191 nt
Organism: Phoenix dactylifera (date palm)
Lineage: Eukaryota; Viridiplantae; Streptophyta; Magnoliopsida; Arecales; Arecaceae
Source: RefSeq, a predicted model, not a curated record
AUGAUUUGACAGACUAUCAACAGAUCAGAUACAUACCUUGAACUUUACCAAGCAUACCAAAGUGUAUGAUACAGCUAAUAGGAUCUUAUCAGCUGUCAUGCAGUAUAAGAAGGCUUGGUCAUGAAUAGCCUGGACUCGCUGCUUCCGACCUCAAAUGUCUGAGACAAUUUCAUAAGUGAUUCACUGCUUGCUACCACAGACUAUUGUGUUAUUUCCAGAUCAGAACAAGAUAGAACUAUCAGCUGGUGCAGCUUCCCAUGAAUUUUUAGGCCUUCUAUAGUAAGCUGCUCUCACUCAUCUAUCCCAGAAUAGCGUCCAUGCAAACUCACAAAUAGAUGAACCAAAAAUAGAAUACUUAAUCCACAAGAAGCUAUCAAUCCAAUUAUCCCAGCUCUUCCCUAGCCUGACAUGUCUGUGUUGUUUAGCAAUGUCAAAAUACAUAGUCCUAGGUGGAUAUGGUGAGGGAAGCAAGGUAGACAAUGUUUCAAUUACAUGAUGUGGUGUAUUGUGUUCAUGAAAGCAACAGUAACUUGCAGGAAUUACUCUACCAUUUAUGCUCAGCCACGAGAAAUUCACUCAUGCAGUAGCAAAAUUGUGAAAAAUGGUGAAUGGAUGAUAAAACACCAUUACGCAUUCAGCAAGCAUGUUCACUCAACUCUAUGUUUUUUCUCAUAUGAUGAGCAAGUGCAUAUUUGAUAGCAGAUGAUUUGAUCGAAUUUCUAUGUGAAGGAUCUGUAGUAAAUUUAUGGAGACUGGUGUAACCAAUAGUUCACCACUACUAAAAAAACAGAACAUUACUGAAGACCGUCGAUACAGAAUUCUGGCAACAGACCUUUUAUGGACACCUGUCCUUCAAUUGCCAACUACCUAAAAGAAGGGGAUAGUGUAGAGAUCAUUUCUGAGACUGAAAAAAAAUCCAAGAAAUGCAGUCUUUUCAGAUAUUUCUGCUACAAGAUGAGGUGCAUGGAUUAUAUGGCCUGGAUCAGCUAGGAAGAUGUGGAUGAGGUCUGCAAUGUUCCCAAAUUUAUUGGUGCACUAUAUCAGUAAUUUUAUAUCAUCCCAUCAGACCAUUUGAUGGGGUCAUUGAGUUUGUUAUAAUCAAACUGGGUUACAAAGCCAAACAAGACAGGAGAAGUGUAAUUCAUAACAUCUACCAUGCCUGCAGUUGACUUGCUCCCCAAUUAUGCAGAAAGACUGCUCUGCUUGAAGUUUAAAAGGAUAAUGUUCAGAGGUCUAAGGCUUGUCAUUAGCAGAAACAAGACCAUCAUUGACAACUCUUUAAAUAUUGUUGUUGGCUGAUUAGGUUGCUAACAGGCAUAUAAAAUAAUAACAAUAAUCUAUUCAACUUUGCAUUCAGUAAGUUGUACUACUCAAAUUCAGGAUUGUAUCACAAUAUUGACAACGAGAACUAACAUUUAUAGAGUCUAUUCUUGGUUUCUAGGAUGAACAGAGAGACAAGCUAGUCAAUGCACGUGUGCAAUGAAAGAGGUUUUGAGUUCCUGCAGUGCUGAUAUCAAUUGUACCUGGAAAAGAAAUAUUCCAAGAAAACCAGCUGGUUAGAACCGGAAGGAAUAAACAUUACAGGAUUAGUGCUUUUUCAUUGUGCACCACAUACCAUCUGUUUGAUAGUUGCACUUCAUAUUUAUGUCCAACUUAGCAACACAGAUGCCAUCCCAGAAAUUUAAUCUCUCUCUCUCUCUCUCUCUCUCUCUCUCUCUCUCUCAGAUUUGAGAGAGGGGGGGGGGGGGCGAGAGAGUUUUUCACAUGUACACUAGCAUUUCAAUCCUUGACCAUCCAGCAUCAUCAUAGGAAUAUAUACCCUUGAGAAGGAUAGGAAAACUUCCAAAAAAGAUGGACAUCCAUGAAGAUGCAUCAAUAAGUCACUGCCAUCAUAUUAUGUGAGAUAAUGCAAAGAAACUUGAACAGUGAGAAAGAUGAUGCGGCUACUAAGUAUGGGCAUUAUGAGACUAAAAGUGACCCAUUAAAUGUUGCUAAAUAAGAAAGAACAUGCAGUCUUCAAAGCCCAAGAGAAGAAAUGUUUGAUGAGGGCAUAGAUUUGAUGAAAAGCCCAGUUAGACAUAGAGAGAGCAGAUGGAAAUGGAUAUGAGAAAUGAAGGUAGGGAAGAUAAUGAUGUGAAAGUGUUAAUGGUGAUGAUGACCAAACUGAUGGUAGAGGAAUUGCUCUAUUAAUCUUUUAUUUGUUGAUAUUUCAACCUUGGCAUUGAAAAUAAUCGCCAAGCUUAUCACAAUUCAAAGUAUCAUGGAUUGGAGCAGUCAUAUUAAAACCUUUCCAUUGAUUGUGAUUUCAGUUUAUUUCCUAGCCCUAGGUAUCAUGGACAUGGAGACAGUUGUGAUGACAAAAUCACUUCAAGUCACCUUAUCCAUACAGCAGUAAAGAGUACUAGCAGAUAUCUCCUAUAAACCCUUUUCUCACAUGGUAAAGUUUAUACUAAAGUAAUUAUAAUUUUCACAUUUCUUGCCCUUAUUUUGUAAGAACUCAAUAAAACUAUCUGAGCUACAACAUAUAUUUUAGUGGUCAUAUUGUGCAUACUUUUUGUAAAUGUUGCAUGAUGCACUUUUGUUUAUAAAUAUUUUCAUCCAAAUGUCCAAUUGUGAACUGAAGUUUAUACUGUUUUAGACCAAAAAUGGUUUGCAUCAGUUCAUCAAUCAGCUAAGACAAGCACACGUAGUUUGGAGGCACCUAUACAGGUGUAUAGGUGGAAGAGGAAGAAGAGAGAGAGGCAAAAGAGGUGGCUCAGAUGGUGGGGGAGUAGGAGAAGUAAAAGGAGCAUAGGGAGAAGGAGAGGUGGAGGAGGUAGGGGAGGGUGGAGGAAAAGGAGAAUGAGAACAGGAGGCAGAAGAGGGAAAGGAUAAAGAGGAGAAAGAGGGGAGGAAAGAGAUGAGGAAUGGAUGCAGAAGAGGAAAGAAGGUCAAAGAGAAUGAAAAGAAAAAAUGAUAUAAACAUAUAGCAUUGCUGCCAACCUCUAGUAGCAAUCACGCAAUUCAACAAAGUUGCAUGAUAUGCUAACUGUCCCCAGCUGCCACCAUUCUCUCUUUCACUCCUUCCUCAUUUUUGUUCUUCAACUCACAUUUAGUUCUGAAGAUGAAAGGUUAUCAGUAUGGGUGGCAAACAAUUUGAACAACUUGAGCUUGGCUUAGGCUUGGCUAGAAAAAAGCUCAGUUUAAGCUCG